GACGAACCGUGCGAACGUUGUUCGGAAUCACUGGGCUUAAAGGGCGCGUAGGCGGCAGUUCAAGUCCGGGGUGAAAUCCUCCAGCUCAACUGGAGAAGUGCCUUGGAUACUGAAUUGCUCGAGGGAGGUAGGGGUCGAGGGAACUUCUGGUGGAGCGGUGAAAUGCGUUGAUAUCAGAAGGAACGCCGGUGGCGAAAGCGCUCGACUGGACCUUUUCUGACGCUGAGGCGCGAAAGCUAGGGGAGCAAACGGG
This 253-nucleotide ribosomal RNA is filed under the name uncultured bacterium. RNAcentral's name for it is "partial 16S ribosomal RNA". It matches the Rfam family "Bacterial small subunit ribosomal RNA", at positions 524 to 776 of the family's 1533-position model. The record is from RNAcentral.